CCCUUCCUGGCUGUCAUGAGGUAAGCAACCCUGCUCUAACAUACCAGUAUUUGCCAGUGAGAAGAAACUGACUAGCAGAAGACCAGACAUUUCUCAAAAGAAAUUGUCUCAGAUGGCCAAUGGAUACAGGG
Perognathus longimembris pacificus (Pacific pocket mouse) is the source of this 131-nucleotide long non-coding RNA. RefSeq lists it as uncharacterized. The record is from RefSeq and is a predicted model, not a curated record. The transcript has 2 exons. NCBI's taxonomy places the organism in Eukaryota, Metazoa, Chordata, Mammalia, Rodentia, Heteromyidae.